Molecule: ribosomal RNA, 484 nt
Filed under: uncultured bacterium
Lineage: Bacteria
Description: partial 16S ribosomal RNA
Rfam family: Bacterial small subunit ribosomal RNA
Source: RNAcentral
AUUGAACGCUGGCGGCAUGCUUUACACAUGCAAGUCGAACGGCAGCGCGGGCUUCGGCCUGGCGGCGAGUGGCGAACGGGUGAGUAAUACAUCGGAACGUGCCCAGUAGUGGGGGAUAGCUCGGCGAAAGCCGGAUUAAUACCGCAUACGACCUGAGGGUGAAAGCGGGGGAUCUUCGGACCUCGCGCUAUUGGAGCGGCCGAUGGCAGAUUAGCUAGUUGGUGGGGUAAAGGCCCACCAAGGCGACGAUCUGUAGCUGGUCUGAGAGGACGGCCAGCCACACUGGGACUGAGACACGGCCCAGACUCCUACGGGAGGCAGCAGUGGGGAAUUUUGGACAAUGGGCGAAAGCCUGAUCCAGCAAUGCCGCGUGUGUGAUGAAGGCCUUCGGGUUGUAAAGCACUUUUGGCGGGAACGAAAAGGACUGUGCCAAUACCACGGUUCGAUGACGGUACCCGCAGAAUAAGCACCGGCUAACUACGUG